AUGGGAGAGGUAGAUGGAAUUGGUGGUGUAGGGGUAAAAUCCGUAGAUAUCACCAGGAAUACCGAUUGCGAAGGCGAUCUACUGGAACAUUAUUGACGCUGAGGCAUGAAAGCGUGGGGAGCAAACAGGAUUAGAUACCCUGGUAGUCCACGCCCUAAACGAUGCACACUAGUUGUUGCGAUGCUAGUCAUUGCAGUAAUGCACUUAACAGAUUAAGUGUGCCGCCUGGGGAGUACGGUCGCAAGAUUAAAACUCAAAGGAAUAGACGGGGACCCGCACAAGCGGUGGAGCAUGUGGUUUAAUUCGAAGAUACACGAAGAACCUUACCUGGGCUUGAUAUCCUUGGAAUCUUGUAGAGAUACGAGAGUGCUAGUUUACUAGAACCAAGAGACAGGUGCUGCACGGCUGUCGUCAGCUCGUGUCGUGAGAUGUUGGGUUAAGUCCCGCAACGAGCGCAACCCU
This 462-nucleotide ribosomal RNA is filed under the name bacterium enrichment culture clone OTU1. RNAcentral describes it as "bacterial SSU rRNA". It matches the Rfam family "Bacterial small subunit ribosomal RNA", at positions 648 to 1105 of the family's 1533-position model. The record is from RNAcentral.